GACGAACGCUGGCGGCGUGCUUAACACAUGCAAGUCGAACGGGCCCGCCCCUGUUUUUGGGGGUGGGUUGAGUGGCGAACGGGUGAGUAUCACGUGAGUAACCUGCCCCCUGCUCCUGGAUAACUGCUUGAAAGGGCGGCUAAUACGGGGUGUGCCGGCUGGUCCGCAUGGGCCUGGUCGGGAUAGUUUCAUCUUCGGGUGUUUCGGUGGGGGAUGGGCUCGCGGCCUAUCAGCUUGUUGGUGGGGUGAUGGCCCACCAAGGCGGUGACGGGUAGCCGGCCUGAGGGGGUGGGCGGCCACACUGGGACUGAGACACGGCCCAGACUCCUGCGGGAGGAAGCAGUGGGGGGUAUUGCACAAUGGGCGGAAGCCUGAUGCAGCGACGUCGCGUGAGGGAUGGAGGCCGUCGGGUUGUGAACCUCUUUCUCCGGUGGUGAAGGCCCUGUCCGUUGCGGCGGGGUUGACGGUAGCCGGGUAUGAAGCGCCGGCUAACUACGUG
RNAcentral lists this ribosomal RNA (499 nucleotides) under uncultured bacterium. RNAcentral describes it as "partial 16S ribosomal RNA". It matches the Rfam family "Bacterial small subunit ribosomal RNA", at positions 28 to 507 of the family's 1533-position model. The record is from RNAcentral.